Molecule: long non-coding RNA, 2562 nt
Organism: Sander lucioperca (pikeperch)
Lineage: Eukaryota; Metazoa; Chordata; Actinopteri; Perciformes; Percidae
Exons: 5
Source: RefSeq, a predicted model, not a curated record
CAUGGGACCAGCAUCUAGAUGCUGUGAUGUUUGGUCUACGGACCAAAAAACAGUCAACCACCAAAUUUUCGCCAUUCUAUAUGAUGUUUGGCAGGGAAGCCAGAUACCCGUCCCAGGUCCCUGAGGAGUACAUGGUAUUUUUUGUUGCAAGUGAUUGCUUUGACUUUUUGAAAUAAUUUGUAUUGAUAUGUAAUACGUUAUGAUAUUGUAUACAAUAUUAUUUUUAAAAGGUGGACAGCAGCGUGGAGAGUGCUGUGGAGAAUGACAGCCCUACAGAGGACAUUAUUAAUAUUAGUGAUGCCCUGCAGGCUGCUCGACACACCACUGCCACAAGCCACAUCAAAAACCAAAAGACCACAAAAUCUAAUUUCAAGGUGGGUGACAAAGUGUGGCGGUUGAAUGUGAGAAGCCAGCAGCGAAAGGGAGGAAAGUUGGAGCCUGACUUCUUGGGGCCUUUCAAAGUCAUAGCUCUACAGGACAAGAGUGCUGAUCUGGAAAGUGAGGGAGGUCGUGUUUUUCCUAAAAUCAACACCGACCACCUGAAAAUACACACCGACAAAAAGGAAAGAAUACCACAUAAGAUCCUCAACUCCACAGGGGUAACCUCAAUCUCUGCCUCGAUCCCUGCCUCCACUCCCACCUCUGCUUCAUCCUCCACCUCUGACUCCACAACCAUCCCUACCUCCACUUCUGCUUCCACCUCUACUCCUGCUUCAACCUUGAGCUACACUGUAUCAGCUACCACUGAUAAAUGUAUGUCUUUCUUUCACUCUACAAUAGUGACAGCUGAUCAAACAGUUUGUCAAUUUGAAUUUAUAGAAAGGCAAUUGUUUUGGCAUUAUUACAAUAUCAGUACUUUUAGCUAAGAAGCAUUGUUUCUUUUAUUUACCUACAUUACAAAUAGGCUUAAUUUCGCUUAGCAACUAAUUUGGUAAUGGCUUGAAUGUAACAGACUUUCAUUACUAUAAAAAAGUUACGCACUAAAGCUUUAAUGAAUGUGCAUUAAAGAAAUAUUCGUAAGUAAUGACAUCUAUUCAUUGCAAUUUAUGUGAUGAAUAUUGCACUAUUCAAUAUGCUGUGCUUAUGUAUUUUGUUAUUUUUCCUAGGUGUGAUGGAUGCAUGGAAAGGAAAGAAUCCAUACAUUCUUCUUUCCAAAGUUGGGCCCUACAAACUGUUUUAUGCAGAUAUAGCAAGAACAGCCCCAAAUAUGCAGUUGGAGAGUGAGAUACAGGGUGUUUACAUAGGGGAUUUAUGCAGUUAUAUAUGCAGAAAACAGAUCCUAUUUGAUAUUGUAUGUCAUUUCAUCUCAGGUUAUUAAUGCCUACUUGGAGCUCCUGGUCAAAGAGCACAAUGGGCGAACAAGGGAAAAGGCAAUUGCUGUCGACACGUUUGCCAUGACUGAUGUUUGGAAUAAUAAAAGCAAACUGCGUGAAGUAUGUGGAGAUUUUACAGUACAUAUAGACUCAAGUAUUUAUUUAUGCAUCUUUGAGUUAGUCCUUCCGAGCGAUGUAUAAAUAUACCUUUUCUACCCAUGUUUUUCUAAUUUUAGCUUGAUCCUGAUGUUCAAAUUAAUCAUUGGCAUUGUCAACAAGAACAACCACUGGAUGUUGAUGGUUAUGCUUCCAUCAGAGAAGAGGUCAUUGUUCCUUGAUCCUCUUGGGGAAAAGGCAAAGGACAUAAAACACUGUCAAGAGCAUUCAUGAGACAAAGGGGACUCAAUAUCUCAAAAUGGUCAUGCACCUCUCUCCCUCACCCUCUGCAAAAAGAUGUGACAUCUUGUGGAGUAUUUGCAUUAAAGUUUGCAGAAUGCAUUUUAAAAGGGCAGAGCAUCUCCUUUGGAUCAUCAAAAAAACACAUUGAGGGACUAAGAAAGGUCAUAGCAACCACUCUACUGGAAAACAGCGGUAUGUUGGUGACAUGCUGGAGUAUUGCAUGGAUAGCUUAUUUUAGUUAAAUUGAUUAUAUAAGUCUUAUAACAAUAACAGAAACCUGAGCUGUUAUGGUUCUUUGAUUUUGUCAGAUGACCUCAGUGAAGUCUGCCACAUCUGUGGUAACGUGGAGGAUGGCCAGGAUGAGACAGUUUCCUGGAUAUCCUGUGACUCAUGUCAUCGGUGGUACCACCAGCGAUGUGCCAAAUGUAUCACUACUGACAGUGACUACAUGUGUGAGGCUUGUAGUGAUUUGGCUGUAGUUUGAAGUUGUGUGUGUGUGUGUGCGUGUGUUUGUGUGUGUGUCAGAACAAGUUCAGCUACAUCGUUGUCUACAUGUUGUGGUCAUUGGAUCGAUGAUGAUCCUUCAUCAGCUGCAUCGAAUGAACUCCAGCAUUUGAUGACACAGUUCAUCACGGUUCAUCUGCCUCUUCUGUUUCUGUGUUUCUUUACAUGUGUGAGCGUAUACAGCAUGCUGUCAUGCAACCACAUUUUUAAAUGUGUGUUGAUUUAUUGGUAUGAGUGACAGGCGGCCUUAUUCUGGCUCUGGGUCACCAUUUGCUUGUUAGUCAAGCCCUCUGGAAGUGUCAGCGAGUCUUCGUCAGCCUCGGACACAUUUUCUUCUUUUGUCCUU